GCUGACCUCUUCGGAGGUAUGUGCACGCCUGCCAUCGUUUCAUUCUCCCUUCCACCUGUGCACUCCCUGUAGACCAAGCUGCUGCAACUUCGGAUGUACGUUGUGCACCCGGUAUGAGGGCUGCUCUCAGCUGUCCUUGAGGCGGUAGUCGCGGUCUACGUCUUUACCCACUCCAUUGCAUGUAAUAGAAUGUAUGUUUUGGGUUCUUUACAGACCCAUAAAAUCUUAUACAACUUUCAACAACGGAUCUCUUGGCUCUCGCAUCGAUGAAGAACGCAGCGAAAUGCGAUAAGUAAUGUGAAUUGCAGAAUUCAGUGAAUCAUCGAAUCUUUGAACGCACCUUGCGCUCCUUGGCAUUCCGAGGAGCAUGCCUGUUUGAGUGUCAUUAAAUCCUCAACCCCAUCUCCCUUGUGGUGAUUAGGUGUUGGACGUGGAAGCUGCUGGCUUGUCUAGAGUCGGCUCUUCUGAAAUAGAUUAGCAGGGCCACGCUGUGCGGCUUGGUAUUGAUAGUUGUCUUACCAGGUAGCUGAAAGCAUGUUAGUCCAGCUU
RNAcentral lists this ribosomal RNA (549 nucleotides) under Pluteus aff. podospileus MO136488. Its description in RNAcentral is "eukaryotic LSU rRNA". The stretch from base 232 to 385 matches the Rfam family "5.8S ribosomal RNA". Lineage: Eukaryota; Fungi; Basidiomycota; Agaricomycetes; Agaricales; Pluteaceae. The record is from RNAcentral.